RNAcentral lists this ribosomal RNA (627 nucleotides) under uncultured bacterium. RNAcentral's name for it is "bacterial SSU rRNA". It matches the Rfam family "Bacterial small subunit ribosomal RNA", at positions 56 to 672 of the family's 1533-position model. The record is from RNAcentral.
UGCAAGUCGAGGGGCAGCAUGGUCUUAGCUUGCUAAGGCCGAUGGCGACCGGCGCACGGGUGAGUAACACGUAUCCAACCUGCCGUCUACUCUUGGACAGCCUUCUGAAAGGAAGAUUAAUACAAGAUGGCAUCAUGAGUUCACAUGUUCACAUGAUUAAAGGUAUUCCGGUAGACGAUGGGGAUGCGUUCCAUUAGAUAGUAGGCGGGGUAACGGCCCACCUAGUCUUCGAUGGAUAGGGGUUCUGAGAGGAAGGUCCCCCACAUUGGAACUGAGACACGGUCCAAACUCCUACGGGAGGCAGCAGUGAGGAAUAUUGGUCAAUGGGCGCAGGCCUGAACCAGCCAAGUAGCGUGAAGGAUGACUGCCCUAUGGGUUGUAAACUUCUUUUAUAAAGGAAUAAAGUCGGGUAUGUAUACCCGUUUGCAUGUACUUUAUGAAUAAGGAUCGGCUAACUCCGUGCCAGCAGCCGCGGUAAUACGGAGGAUCCGAGCGUUAUCCGGAUUUAUUGGGUUUAAAGGGAGCGUAGAUGGAUGUUUAAGUCAGUUGUGAAAGUUUGCGGCUCAACCGUAAAAUUGCAGUUGAUACUGGAUAUCUUGAGUGCAGUUGAGGCAGGCGGAAUUCGUG